UGCAAGUCGAACGGUAACCGGUCUUUCGGGAUGCUGACGAGUGGCGAACGGGUGAGUAAUACAUCGGAACGUGCCUAGUAGUGGGGGAUAACUACUUGAAAGAGUGGCUAAUACCGCAUGACAUCUAAGGAUAAAAGCAGGGGACCUUCGGGCCUUGUGCUACUAGAGCGGCCGAUGGCAGAUUAGGUAGUUGGUGGGAUAAAAGCUUACCAAGCCAACGAUCUGUAGCUGGUUUGAGAGGACGAUCAGCCCCCCUGGGACUGAGACGCGGCCCCGACUCCUACGGGAGGCAGCAGUGGGGAAUUUUGGACAAUGGGCGCAAGCCUGAUCCAGCAAUGCCGCGUGCAGGAUGAAGGCCUUCGGGUUGUAAACUGCUUUUGUACGGAACGAAAAGCUUUGGGCUAAUACCUCGGAGUCAUGACGGUUCCAGGAGAAUAAGCCCCGGCUAACUACGUG
RNAcentral lists this ribosomal RNA (456 nucleotides) under uncultured bacterium. RNAcentral describes it as "bacterial SSU rRNA". It matches the Rfam family "Bacterial small subunit ribosomal RNA", at positions 56 to 507 of the family's 1533-position model. The record is from RNAcentral.